GAUGAACGCUGGCGGCGUGCCUAAUACAUGCAAGUCGAGCGAACAGACGAGGAGCUUGCUCCUCUGACGUUAGCGGCGGACGGGUGAGUAACACGUGGAUAACCUACCUAUAAGACUGGGAUAACUUCGGGAAACCGGAGCUAAUACCGGAUAAUAUAUUGAACCGCAUGGUUCAAUAGUGACAGACGGUUUUGCUGUCACUUAUAGAUGGAUCCGCGCCGCAUUAGCUAGUUGGUAAGGUAACGGCUUACCAAGGCAACGAUGCGUAGCCGACCUGAGAGGGUGAUCGGCCACACUGGAACUGAGACACGGUCCAGACUCCUACGGGAGGCAGCAGUAGGGAAUCUUCCGCAAUGGGCGAAAGCUUGACGGAGCAACGCCGCGUGAGUGAUGAAGGUCUUCGGAUCGUAAAGCUCUGUUAUUAGGGAAGAACAAAUGUGUAAGUAACUAUGCACGUCUUGACGGUACCUAAUCAGAAAGCCACGGCUAACUACGUG
This 497-nucleotide ribosomal RNA is filed under the name uncultured bacterium. RNAcentral describes it as "partial 16S ribosomal RNA". It matches the Rfam family "Bacterial small subunit ribosomal RNA", at positions 28 to 507 of the family's 1533-position model. The record is from RNAcentral.